GAGUUUGAUCCUGGCUCAGGAUGAACGCUGGCGGCGUGCCUAACACAUGCAAGUCGAGCGAAGCACUUUACUUGAUUUCUUCGGAUUGAAGGUAUAGUGACUGAGCGGCGGACGGGUGAGUAACGCGUGGGUAACCUGCCUCAUACAGGGGGAUAACAGUUAGAAAUGACUGCUAAUACCGCAUAAGACCACAGCACCGCAUGGUGCGGGGGUAAAAACUCCGGUGGUAUGAGAUGGACCCGCGUCUGAUUAGCUAGUUGGUAAGGUAAGGGCUUACCAAGGCGACGAUCAGUAGCCGACCUGAGAGGGUGACCGGCCACAUUGGGACUGAGACACGGCCCAAACUCCUACGGGAGGCAGCAGUGGGGAAUAUUGCACAAUGGGGGAAACCCUGAUGCAGCGACGCCGCGUGAGUGAUGAAGUAUUUCGGUAUGUAAAGCUCUAUCAGCAGGGAAGAAAAUGACGGUACCUGACUAAG
This 478-nucleotide ribosomal RNA is filed under the name uncultured bacterium. RNAcentral describes it as "bacterial SSU rRNA". It matches the Rfam family "Bacterial small subunit ribosomal RNA", at positions 9 to 487 of the family's 1533-position model. The record is from RNAcentral.